Molecule: long non-coding RNA, 444 nt
Organism: Homo sapiens (human)
Lineage: Eukaryota; Metazoa; Chordata; Mammalia; Primates; Hominidae
Exons: 4
Source: RefSeq, a predicted model, not a curated record
GGAGUCAUGAUGACUCACAAUGCAGCUGAGAACCCUGUUACCAUUUGCAAUGACAAGAACUAAACACUAGCCACUACCACCAGGGUUACUCCUGGUUCAGGGCUGAAUACAGUGAGUCCACUGGGCAAUGAUCAGCAAUUCUGACUUCAAGAUCCAAUCACCCAGUGAAAGCUACAAGAGAACUCAGUACAAGAUAAAUGGGAAUGACAGUUGCACCCACCUCAAGGUGUUAUGAGGCUAGAUGAGUUUCUGCAUGUCAAGCCCUCAGAGAAGUGCCUGGCAAGCAGACAGUGCUCAGCUGAGGAGGGCUUUCUUGGUUGUGCUGUCUUUCUGAGGCAACGUGGAGUCUACCAGUCACGGACAAAGGACUCUCUGAAGUCAGUCCCAGCACACCUGCACCAAAUAUCAGGAGGAAGGCAGAUGAAUACUUAAAGUCCAACAUGU